CCUACGGGUGGCAGCAGUGAGGAAUAUUGGUCAAUGGACGAGAGUCUGAACCAGCCAAGUAGCGUGAAGGAUGACUGCCCUAUGGGUUGUAAACUUCUUUUAUAUGGGACUAAAAUGUUCCACGUGUGGGCUUUUGUAUGUACCAUAUGAAUAAGGAUCGGCUAACUCCGUGCCAGCAGCCGCGGUAAUCCGGAGGAUCCGAGCGUUAUCCGGAUUUAUUGGGUUUAUAGGGAGCGUAGGGGGAUUGUUAAGUCAGUUGUGAAAGUUUGCGGCUCAACCGUAAAAUUGUAGGGUAAACUGGCAGUCUUGAGAACAGUAGAGGUGGGCGGAAUUCGUGGUGUAGCGGUGAAAUGCUGAGAGAUCACGAAGAACUCCGAGUGCGAAGGCAGCUCACUGGACUGCAACUGACACUGAGGCUCGAAAGUGUGGGUAUCAAACAGGAUUAGAUACCCCUGUAGUC
RNAcentral lists this ribosomal RNA (460 nucleotides) under uncultured bacterium. Its description in RNAcentral is "partial 16S ribosomal RNA". It matches the Rfam family "Bacterial small subunit ribosomal RNA", at positions 338 to 795 of the family's 1533-position model. The record is from RNAcentral.